Long non-coding RNA from Puntigrus tetrazona (Sumatra barb), 1689 nucleotides. RefSeq lists it as uncharacterized. NCBI's taxonomy places the organism in Eukaryota, Metazoa, Chordata, Actinopteri, Cypriniformes, Cyprinidae. The record is from RefSeq and is a predicted model, not a curated record. The transcript has 3 exons.
CCACUGCUGAUGUUCCGGGUCAAAGAGGAGCAAAUAUCACAAUGUGUGCUGCAAUCUCAAGUGCUGGUUUGGUCCUGCAGAAAAGCCAGAUCGGUCCCUUCAACACAGAGCGCCUUCUUUUGUUUUUAGAUGACCUCCACCAACAACUGGUACCAGCAGCAGAAAGGGAACAAGUAGGAGGAAACAUGAGGACAUUUGUGAUUGUAUGGGACAAUGUAGCGUUCCACCAUUCACAUGCAAUCACAAAUUGGUUUGCAGCCCAUCUGAGAAUGAUUUCUCUUUUUCUUCCUCCGUACUCUCCUUUCCUCAAUCCUGUUGAGGAAUUUUUUUCUGCCUGGAGGUGGAAAGUCUAUGAUCAUAGACCACAUGAUCAGAUGUCCCUCCUGGAUGCCAUGGAGGCUGGCUGCCGAGAUAUCUCCGCUGAAGACUGCCAAGGCUGGAUAAGGCAUGCUAAACGUUUCUAUCCCAGAUGCAUAGCAAGAGAAAAUAUAAGAUGUGAUGUCGAUGAGAACAUGUGGCCAGUUGCUGAAGAUCGUAUAGAUUAGAACUUUAUUUCUGUUUUUUUGUUUUUUGUCUGUUUUUUUUUUUUUUUUUUUAACUAAAGGCCAAAGGCCUGUAUAUUUUUUUUGGAUCACUGACAGCAAUUUCAUUUUGCUAAUUUACUUCAGCAAUUCUGUCACUUUUCUUUUACAUUUCAUAAAUUACUGAUGAGUCCUCAACUAUGCUGUACACAUACUGCCCUACAGUAAUCCACACAUACACAAACACUGGUUUCCAUUUUUUUGUGGGGACUCUCAAAUAUCUAAUCUUGUUUUCUCAAGAGGACCAAAUAAAGUGUCCCCACAAGGUCAAACCAAAACACAAAGUAAUGCAGAUUUUUGUAAUUAAUUGUUAGCAUUUUGUCAGUCUAUGUGUUAUGAUUGACUAUAUGUUUCUGUUGGAUUGAAAACUAGUGCUAAUGUUUUGAUUGAAUGAUUCAAUUUUGAAUCAGGUUUGCUGUGUUUUGAUAGAGUUAGUAUAUGUAGAAAAAGGUACUCAGCAUUUUGAAAUGGAGAGUUUGUAUUUAUUUAACAAAACAUGGUUUUGGCCAGAAAAUUAUCAAUUUGGCUAAUUGUGUGAUGUUAGUGUGUUGCUGUGUUAAGAGUUUAGAAAAAGUAUUUUAAGUAUUGGUAAAUGCUUGUUAGCAAUUGAAAAAAACUGUAUUGACCACGUGAUAAACCAUGGUCUGUCAUUGAGAGAGGCAGGUGAAAGAGUCCAGCCCAAUCUUAGACGGUCAACUGUGGCAUCCAUUAUCCGAAUUUUUCAACAAACCAACAGAACACAACGACUUCCUUGCUCUGGGGGAAGAAGAAAACUGCUCACUGAGGACCAAGAGCAUGCUAUUGUAGGGUGGGUUAUAGCUGACAAUGCAAUAAAACUUAGAGAAAUUCAAUCCAGAAUUGUACAGGACAACCUGGUAUUCCAGAAUGUGGAAAGCAUCAGCCUGGCUACCAUCACUCGAACUCUGAACAAACACAGAAUUCGAAUGAAACAGCUGUACAAAGUGCCCUUUGAAAGAAACAGUGAGCGGGUCAAGGAACUCCGACACCAAUAUGUCCAGAGAGUUAUGGAGUUGGAGGCUAAUCAGACACCACAUAAAUUCAUUUAUGUAGAUGAGGCAGGAUUUAACCUGGCAAAAACUCGUAGACG